Plodia interpunctella (Indianmeal moth) is the source of this 670-nucleotide long non-coding RNA. RefSeq lists it as uncharacterized. Lineage: Eukaryota; Metazoa; Arthropoda; Insecta; Lepidoptera; Pyralidae. The record is from RefSeq and is a predicted model, not a curated record. The transcript is spliced from 3 exons.
CAACGAUAAAACCCGAGAAUAAAACUCUUUAUUGACAACCUAGUUAGCCACAAAAGCCAAUGUUUAAUAAGAAUUCCAAACAAAAUUAGCCAAAAUUUAUGGAAACAGUAAUACUGUAAUCAUUUAACUACUUGCAAGUUAUCUUUUCUUGAUUAUUAUUCUAAAUUUAAGGGAUGGCUUGAUGUCGUGUAAGAGCGAGCAAAUGCUUUGAUAUAUCUAAUACCAAAGACCGUGUAAAGAAGAAAAAAGUAGGAAAGUGGACCCUGGAAACAAGAUUAAGCUAAAACGUGGAUGGUAAUAAUAACCAAGAUAAAGAAUCUUGGUUAUUAUUCAGGAUUUCCUUAUUUACCACAGCUCGAUUUAGAUAAACGAGGCGGAUAAGUCGUGUAAAAUAUUCCAAAACGGAAAGCGGCCCGUGGACUCCGACACUUAAUGGAAAAGUGUCCGAGAAAACGUUCAAAUGAGAGAGACACAGGACACGAGAUUUCUACAACCCUGAAUAUUUUGUGAUGGUCCCACGUCACGUUUCAGCUGUACGUUCGGGCACAUCCGUCGCUCUUCGGGAGGCUUCGGUGGCGUCUGGGGCGCGUUGCCAUGGCGACCAGAUUUCACGCGCCCUAAUCACCUGCCGCUAGCAGAAACAAACAUUUAAACUAGGUAUUCUCUUGAU